ACUCAAAGGAAUAGACGGGGGCCCGCACAAGCAGCGGAGCGUGUGGUUUAAUUCGAGGCUACACGAAGAACCUUACCUGGGUUUGACAUCCCCUGAAGGCGUAUGAAAGUACGCGGUCCUUCGGGACAGGGAGACAGGUGCUGCAUGGCUGUCGUCAGCUCGUGUCGUGAGAUGUUCGGUUAAGUCCGAAAACGAGCGCAACCCUCGGAGCGUGUUACAAGUGUCACGCUCGACUGCCGGCGGCAAGCCGGAGGAAGGUGGGGAUGAUGUCAAGUCAGCAUGGCCUUUAUAUCCAGGGCUACACACACGCUACAAUGGGCGGUACAGUAGGCAGCGAACCUGUGAGGGGGAGCCAAUCCUGAAAGCCGUUCGUAGUUCGGAUUGCAGGCUGCAACUCGCCUGCAUGAAGCUGGAGUUGCUAGUAACCGUGCAUCAGCAUGGCACGGUGAAUACGUUCCCGGGCCUUGUACACACCGCCCGU
RNAcentral lists this ribosomal RNA (481 nucleotides) under uncultured bacterium. RNAcentral's name for it is "partial 16S ribosomal RNA". It matches the Rfam family "Bacterial small subunit ribosomal RNA", at positions 899 to 1397 of the family's 1533-position model. The record is from RNAcentral.